RNAcentral lists this long non-coding RNA (228 nucleotides) under Mytilus galloprovincialis (Mediterranean mussel). The record is from RNAcentral. Lineage: Eukaryota; Metazoa; Mollusca; Bivalvia; Mytilida; Mytilidae.
AAACUAAUGACUACAAUGUUCUUCAUUAUAACACUGGAUGCUCUGUCGAUUCUUUUUCUCGUUGCCAUUUUCUCUUUCAGUUAAAUCCUUGAACUAGAAAUAUCUACAUUGAGAUAUUUGUUUUCCUAUUUUAUUCCAUUUUCAAAUUUAAAAAAAUGUAUAAAGUUGCACCAUUAUUAGUUCCUAACCAAUGGUAUUAUUGCAAAAGUUUCGACUAUUUAAGAUCGC